CCUACGGGAGGCAGCAGUGAGGAAUAUUGGUCAAUGGCCGUAAGGCUGAACCAGCCAAGUCGCGUGAAGGAAGAAGGAUCUAUGGUUUGUAAACCUCUUUUAUAGGGGAAUAAAGCUAUCCACGUGUGGCUAUUUGCAUGUACCCUGUGAAUAAGCAUCGGCUAACUCCGUGCCAGCAGCCGCGGUAAUACGGAGGAUGCGAGCGUUAUCCGGAUUUAUUGGGUUUAAAGGGAGCGUAGGCCGCAUGUCAAGCGUUCUGUGAAAUGUCCGGGCUCAACCCGGGCCUUGCAGCGAGAACUGGCGUGCUGGAGUCCGCGGAAAGCAGGCGGAAUUCGUCGUGUAGCGGUGAAAUGCUUAGAUAUGACGAAGAACCCCGAUUGCGAAGGCAGCUUGCUGCAGCGGAACUGACGCUGAUGCUCGAAAGCGCGGGUAUCGAACAGGAUUAGAUACCCUUGUAGUC
Molecule: ribosomal RNA, 460 nt
Filed under: uncultured bacterium
Lineage: Bacteria
Description: partial 16S ribosomal RNA
Rfam family: Bacterial small subunit ribosomal RNA
Source: RNAcentral